RNAcentral lists this ribosomal RNA (460 nucleotides) under uncultured bacterium. RNAcentral describes it as "partial 16S ribosomal RNA". It matches the Rfam family "Bacterial small subunit ribosomal RNA", at positions 338 to 795 of the family's 1533-position model. The record is from RNAcentral.
CCUACGGGUGGCAGCAGUGAGGAAUAUUGGUCAAUGGGCGCGAGCCUGAAACAGCCAAGUAGCGUGAAGGAUGACUGCCCUACGGGUUGUAAACUUCUUUUAUAAAGGAAUAAAGUGAGGCACGUGUGCCUAUUUGUAUAUACUUUAUGAAUAAGGAUCGGCUAACUCCGUGCCAGCAGCAGCGGUAAUACGGAGGAUCCGAGCGUUAUCAGGAUUUAGUGGGUUUAAAGGGAGCGUAGAUGGGUUGGUAAGUCAGUUGUGAAAGUUUGCGGCUCAACCGUAAAAUUGCAAUUGAUACUGGCAGUCUUGAGUACAGUAGAGAUAGGCGGAAUUCGUGGUGUAGCGGUGAAAUGCUUAGAUAUCACGAAGAACUCCGAUUGCGAAGGCAGCUUACUAAGCUGCCACUGACAUUGAUGCUCGAAAGUGUGGGUAUCAAACAGGAUUAGAUACCCCUGUAGUC